RNAcentral lists this ribosomal RNA (258 nucleotides) under uncultured Glomus. RNAcentral's name for it is "partial 18S ribosomal RNA". It matches the Rfam family "Eukaryotic small subunit ribosomal RNA", at positions 624 to 885 of the family's 1831-position model. Lineage: Eukaryota; Fungi; Glomeromycota; Glomeromycetes; Glomerales; Glomeraceae. The record is from RNAcentral.
AAGCUCGUAGUUGAAUUUCGGGGUUAGUAGGUUGGUCAUGCCUCUGGUAUGUACUGGUCUCACUGAUUCCUCCUUCCUUAUGAACCGUAAUGCCAUUAAUUUGGUGUUGCGGGGAAUUUGGACUGUUACUUUGAAAAAAUUAGAGUGUUUAAAGCAAGCUAACGCUUGAAUACAUUAGCAUGGAAUAAUGAAAUAGGACGUUCGAUCUUAUUUUGUUUGGUUUCUAGGAUUGACGUAAUGAUUAAUGGGAUAGUUGGG